UACGGAGGGUGCGAGCGUUGUCCGGAAUCACUGGGCGUAAAGGGCGCGUAGGUGGCUCGUGAAGCGUGCGGUGAAAGUCCGAGGCUCAACCUCGGAUCGGCCGUGCGGACUCGCGGGCUCGAGCGUUGUAGAGGCGGGUGGAAUUCCGGGUGUAGCGGUGGAAUGCGUAGAGAUCCGGAAGAACACCAGUGGCGAAGGCGGCCCGCUGGGCAGUGGCUGACGCUGAGGCGCGACAGCGUGGGGAGCAAACAGG
This 253-nucleotide ribosomal RNA is filed under the name uncultured bacterium. RNAcentral's name for it is "partial 16S ribosomal RNA". It matches the Rfam family "Bacterial small subunit ribosomal RNA", at positions 524 to 776 of the family's 1533-position model. The record is from RNAcentral.